GAUGAACGCUGGCGGCGUGCCUAAUACAUGCAAGUCGAGCGAAUGAAUUAAGAGCUUGCUCUUAUGAAGUUAGCGGCGGACGGGUGAGUAACACGUGGGUAACCUGCCCAUAAGACUGGGAUAACUGCGGGAAACUGUAGCUAAUACCGGAUACGACCCUCGGCGGCAUCGCCAGGGGGUGGAAAGAAUUUCGGUCAAGGAUGGACUCGCGGCCUAUCAGCUAGUUGGUGAGGUAACGGCUCACCAAGGCGACGACGGGUAGCCGGCCUGAGAGGGUGACCGGCCACACUGGGACUGAGACACGGCCCAGACUCCUACGGGAGGCAGCAGUAGGGAAUCUUCCGCAAUGGACGAAAGUCUGACGGAGCAACGCCGCGUGAGUGAUGAAGGCUUUCGGGUCGUAAAACUCUGUUGUUAGGGAAGAACAAGUGCUAGUUGAAUAAGCUGGCACCUUGACGGUACCUAACCAGAAAGCCACGGCUAACUACGUGCCAGCCGCCGCAGUAA
This 507-nucleotide ribosomal RNA is filed under the name uncultured bacterium. RNAcentral's name for it is "partial 16S ribosomal RNA". It matches the Rfam family "Bacterial small subunit ribosomal RNA", at positions 28 to 523 of the family's 1533-position model. The record is from RNAcentral.